This 415-nucleotide ribosomal RNA is filed under the name uncultured bacterium. RNAcentral describes it as "bacterial SSU rRNA". It matches the Rfam family "Bacterial small subunit ribosomal RNA", at positions 355 to 787 of the family's 1533-position model. The record is from RNAcentral.
UGAGGAAUAUUGGGCAAUGGGGGAAACCCUGACCCAGCGACGCCGCGUGAGGGAAGACGGUCUUCGGAUUGUAAACCUCUGUCUUUGGGGACGAAGAAGGACGGUACCCAAGGAGGAAGCGCCGGCUAACUACGUGCCAGCAGCCGCGGUAAUACGUAGGGAGCGAGCGUUGUCCGGAAUUACUGGGUGUAAAGGGAGCGUAGGCGGGAUUGCAAGUUGGAUGUGAAAACUGCGGGCUCAACCCGGAGAGUGCAUUCAAAACUGCGAUUCUUGAGUGAAGUAGAGGCAAGCGGAAUCCUAGUGUAGCGGUGAAAUGCGUAGAUAUUAGGAGGAACACCAGUGGCGAAGGCGGCUUGCUGGGCUUUUACUGACGCUGAGGCUCGAAAGUGUGGGGAGCAAACAGGAUUAGAUACCC